This is a long non-coding RNA of Sarcophilus harrisii (Tasmanian devil), 379 nucleotides long. RefSeq lists it as uncharacterized. The record is from RefSeq and is a predicted model, not a curated record. The transcript is spliced from 2 exons. NCBI's taxonomy places the organism in Eukaryota, Metazoa, Chordata, Mammalia, Dasyuromorphia, Dasyuridae.
AUCAAUAUCACUCCAGAUAUUUAACCCUUAGAUGGGGAGGUUGAAAAAAAAAAAAAGAAAGAAAGAAAGAAACAGAGCAGUGAUUAUAAAUCCUCCCUUUCUGUUCAGGAUGUCUCGGACAUUCUGGGAGAGAGUCCAUGGCCAUCAUCAGGCUGCCAAAGAGGUCCAGGCCACCAAAAAUCAUCAGAAUCCCUGAGCUGGACCCAGAGAGUGCCCAAAGGCUGCACAGAUGUAACAAGGCUGGAGAAAUAAUGGAGGUAGGCCGGGCAGGCCCUCAAAAGUCAGAUGGAGAAAUUUGUCUUUUUUGUAAAGACAGCAAUAGAAGGCCCCUGAGCAUUCCUGAGCAAUUAUGAUGGAACAGGAAAAUUCUGAAUCAAAA